Molecule: long non-coding RNA, 779 nt
Organism: Peromyscus eremicus (cactus mouse)
Lineage: Eukaryota; Metazoa; Chordata; Mammalia; Rodentia; Cricetidae
Exons: 2
Source: RefSeq, a predicted model, not a curated record
GAGGUCACACGCCUCCCUCGCCGCCCUGCAGACGCCCGAGCUGCGCGCCGCGGGGCUGCCACGCCGGGCCUCACCCUCAGGUUCCCCUUGGUCCGCUGCUUGUUCUUCCCGCCCAUGGUCGCGGUGGCGGCCGCGCUCUCAGCCUGCGGAGCCGAGGUUGACACCGCCGGGCCACAACUUCCGGUCCCUCGCGCCGGAAGGGGGCUCAUUGUAGCAACUUGCCCCCGCCCACCCGGCUCUCUGGCUUCCCCCCUUCCGUUCCCGCCCCUCUGCAAGGACUCUUGACCAGCCGCCGUCUGAUACGUCACAGAGAAAGCCACGCCUGCCUGAGUGGCGUCACUGAUGACCAAUAAGAAACCGGGAUUGGGCCCGCAGCGCCAAAGCCUGUCCCAGGUACUUGAAGUGAAGCGAUUCCCUUCCUAGUGUGUGGGAAUUUGACUUCGGCUACGUUCUUGCACAAGAUAGCAAUAGAAUGAAUGGAACUAAAAUGAAAAUCCAGGCAAGAAUGGGAAGAAACACUCAAAGGAAGAACAUCCAGCCACCCCUCUGCUCAGUCACUGUCCUUCCACCCCAAAGAACAUCUGGAAAACAUCCCCACAUCCCCUGGCAUUUAAGAACUGAUACAGUUGACCAAAGUCCAUGUGGUUUCCUCUGGCUCCAUGGACACUGAAGACCUUUUCUUCAAAAAUGGAAAAUAUCCGUUGUUUUUCCAUUUCAUCCUCUGUACUAUCAAAAGGAAUGUCUUCUCGAUGGCGAAUUAAAAUUCUCUUCCAGUUUAA